Molecule: ribosomal RNA, 1347 nt
Filed under: uncultured bacterium
Lineage: Bacteria
Description: partial 16S ribosomal RNA
Rfam family: Bacterial small subunit ribosomal RNA
Source: RNAcentral
GACGAACGCCUUUUGGCGUGCUUAACACAUGCAAGUCGAACGGAAAGGCCCUGCUUUUGUGGGGUGCUCGAGUGGCGAACGGGUGAGUAACACGUGAGUAACCUGCCCUUGACUUUGGGAUAACUUCAGGAAACUGGGGCUAAUACCGGAUAGGAGCUCCUGCUGCAUGGUGGGGGUUGGAAAGUUUCGGCGGUUGGGGAUGGACUCGCGGCUUAUCAGCUUGUUGGUGGGGUAGUGGCUUACCAAGGCUUUGACGGGUAGCCGGCCUGAGAGGGUGACCGGCCACAUUGGGACUGAGAUACGGCCCAGACUCCUACGGGAGGCAGCAGUGGGGAAUAUUGCACAAUGGGCGGAAGCCUGAUGCAGCAACGCCGCGUGCGGGAUGACGGCCUUCGGGUUGUAAACCGCUUUCGCCUGUGACGAAGCGUGAGUGACGGUAAUGGGUAAAGAAGCACCGGCUAACUACGUGCCAGCAGCCGCGGUGAUACGUAGGGUGCGAGCGUUGUCCGGAUUUAUUGGGCGUAAAGGGCUCGUAGGUGGUUGAUCGCGUCGGAAGUGUAAUCUUGGGGCUUAACCCUGAGCGUGCUUUCGAUACGGGUUGACUUGAGGAAGGUAGGGGAGAAUGGAAUUCCUGGUGGAGCGGUGGAAUGCGCAGAUAUCAGGAGGAACACCAGUGGCGAAGGCGGUUCUCUGGGCCUUUCCUGACGCUGAGGAGCGAAAGCGUGGGGAGCGAACAGGCUUAGAUACCCUGGUAGUCCACGCUGUAAACGGUGGGUACUAGGUGUGGGGUCCAUUCCACGGGUUCCGUGCCGUAGCUAACGCUUUAAGUACCCCGCCUGGGGAGUACGGCCGCAAGGCUAAAACUCAAAGGAAUUGACGGGGCCCCGCACAAGCGGCGGAGCAUGCGGAUUAAUUCGAUGCAACGCGUAGAACCUUACCUGGGUUUGACAUGGAUCGGGAGUGCUCAGAGAUGGGUGUGCCUCUUUUGGGGUCGGUUCACAGGUGGUGCAUGGCUGUCGUCAGCUCGUGUCGUGAGAUGUUGGGUUAAGUCCCGCAACGAGCGCAACCCUUGUUCACUGUUGCCAGCACGUUAUGGUGGGGACUCAGUGGAGACCGCCGGGGUCAACUCGGAGGAAGGUGGGGAUGACGUCAAGUCAUCAUGCCCCUUAUGUCCAGGGCUUCACGCAUGCUACAAUGGCUGGUACAGAGAGUGGCGAGCCUGUGAGGGUGAGCGAAUCUCGGAAAGCCGGUCUCAGUUCGGAUUGGGGUCUGCAACUCGACCUCAUGAAGUCGGAGUCGCUAGUAAUCGCAGAUCAGCAACGCUGCGGUGAAUACGUUCCCGGGGCU